This 319-nucleotide unclassified non-coding RNA is filed under the name chlamydia-associated clinical sample 471-S. RNAcentral describes it as "intergenic spacer region". The record is from RNAcentral.
AAGAGUUACCUUUUUAAACUACUAUUAACCUUAUUUCACUAGACCUAUUUUAUUUAUAUAUUUUUUGUUAUGUGGCUUUUUUAUGGGUCUAAAGCUUUAUAUCUAGUUUUGAGAGAACAAUAUUUUUUUCCUCUCAUUUGUUCUUUGAAAACUGAAAAUGUAAAUUUUUUGAUAUUUACAACGACAUCAAAAUUAAAUUAAAUGGUUAAUUUGUUUUGAUUUCAUCGAGAAAAUCAUAUUAAUUAAUGAUUCAUUGAAAUGUCUUAAAAUACACAUCAUAACAAACUAUAACAAUAGGAAAAUACUUUUUAAAUAAGGA